UCUCUUUCUUUCUCAGUUUCAAUUCUCCUAAAAAAGUCUGAUCCCUGUCGGCUCUCGCCUAUAUCUCAGAAACUAAAACAAAAAGCAAAAUUGAAGCUUUGAUCCUUCUCUUUCCCUUCUGAUUUAUUCGUGAAAAGUCUUUCAUCUUCGAUUUCUUUAUUUUUGAAAUCAAAGAUCCCAAAGAGUGAAAUUAGGGUUCUAAUUUCUCUCUGGUUUGGUUUUCAGUAUGUCUUGAUUAGGUAUUUUUUUUAUUUCGGAUUUUGAUUUAGAAGGGGAAAAUUGAGAAUGAUUAAAUUUGAGAAUUUCUGUGUUGUUUCUUGUAUUUUACGCAUUAAAUUUGUGUACUCAACUCUGAAGUUCCCAGAUUGAGAGUCCUCAACUGAGAAAAUUGAUGCUUAUUAACCCGUGGAAAGAUAAUUUGGAGUCUGUAUUUCUUGAAUAUCAGGGUUGGGUGAUAUUUGUUUUCUUUUUCCUAUAGAUUUCAGUUUUUCAAAAGUCUGAUUGUGUUUGUUGAAUCGAACUAUCUAUCAUUUCUGGUUUUGUCAAAUAGUGAUGUUGAUUCAAGGAUGUUUACAUGGCCAAAUUUAUACAAUUGAUGGAGAUUUGUACAAGGCGAUUAUUAGAAUUACUGGGAGAAAGGACUUCACGGUGAAAGUCAAGAGCUUAACUCUAGAUUGCUAAAUCAAGAUGCAUAAAUUAUGGAACGCAGAGUGGAGAAUAAGAAGCUGGAAUCCUGCACUCCAAAGUAUUACAAUGGCUCCCUCUCAUUAGAGAAACAAAGUGAUGUUGAUUCAAUGAUGUUUUCAUUCCCAAAAUUGCAAUUAAUUGAGAUUCGCGUACAUCGGCCACGCUAUUACUAGAAUUACUGGGUUAUGCGAGCCGGCGAAAAACUUAGCUACAAUUUUCGGGAGUUAACAUUGUCUCCUGCCCUACCCCGACUUGCUCGGGACCACAGGGCUUUGGUUUCUGGUUACUAGUGUGGUCCGAGGUUUAUUUUAAAUUGACUUGAAUCUGCUUGUUGGUAGUGCAUAGUCCUUACACUGAAUUUUUUUAAAGGGUAUUUAUUUCGUCCAUUUUUAAACUAGUACUGCCAAUUGCCAAGAUGUUCUUUGUAGUUCCAUUUCCAAAGUCAAUCACAUUCAUAUUAAAUUUUCAAGUCCUGAAACAGCAUUUGUAUAUACAACUAGAACAGGAUUUGUGUUCUGUACUGUAUCAGGAGCAAAGAUGACCUUGGGAUCCUCAUUCUCUACUCCUGCUCAAUCACCAAAAGAGCAAGCAGGUAAUUAACUUUAACUUGAACUAGUGUGCAUUUUCUUUUUGGUCAUGGUCAUAAAUUUUUUUGUAGUUUGUCGAUGCAUAAUGAUAUGGGUGUGUUAGUCCCUCUUGUCUAACAGUGGUGUUGCAUUUUUAUUUUCACUUUUUGAUUGGUUUAUGAGUUUUAUUCGAAUUCAGUGACAUGAGUUGUCAAACUGAUUGGUUUCUUGUUUUACACACUCGUGUUCUUUAAGGACCUGUAAACAUUUGUGAAAUGUUGUUUAAACUAUUUGAUUUGAUUAACAUGUUAUUCCCGUACAAAGUAUGCAGUGAAGGCUUCUCAAAGAGUCAAGCAAAUUGAAAUUAUGUAUUUUCCCCCUUUCAGCAGGAUAUAAUCUUCACACAGGAUUUUCUUUAAGUGUUCUUGUGAUAACCAAAAACAUACAUCUGCAAAAUCGAACAUUGGAGUUUAAAAAGUAAAACAUAACAAUUCUUGAACUCUUUUAUGAUCACAUAUUUUUUGGGUAAUGUUUUUGUACAAGAAUCCAUGUGCCAACUGUUAUAGUUCUUGAAAAAUGUUGAACAAAUAGCUUUGUAACUGCUGGAAGGGUUGGUUCCCAACAACAGAGAAGGCAGUAUGGCGGAAGUUGGUUUUAGUUUUGAAAUUGUUGAACUUCGUGUUAAAAAAUUCAGAUUUUGACUGGAAUGAUACGGGCUGUUGGAUUUGUAAAAUUGUUCGGUAUAAAAACCCAAGUGCUAGUACAGUGUGUAAAUACUAGUACAAUGUGGUAAGAGUGAACCUUUCAUUCAUGCAUCACAAGAGAUGAUGUGGUAGAGCUUCUUGAGAUGAUGUGGUAGAUCUUGAGGAGAUUGUGCCAGAAGAAGAUGACUCGGAUCAAGAAUAAUAAUUGGUUACUGUUAUUUUAUUUGAAACUUAAUAUUCAUUGCUUGUUUACUCGAAACUCGAUAAAUAUUAAUUGUAAUGCUAAUUUUUUCGCAAACCAGUUAAGUAAUCUAUGGCUAUGGCUGUGUUAUUA
Long non-coding RNA from Papaver somniferum (opium poppy), 2291 nucleotides. RefSeq lists it as uncharacterized. The record is from RefSeq and is a predicted model, not a curated record. Lineage: Eukaryota; Viridiplantae; Streptophyta; Magnoliopsida; Ranunculales; Papaveraceae. The transcript is spliced from 5 exons.